GCCUGGGUGGCUCAGUCAGUUAAGCAUUUGGCUUUAGCUCAGGUCAUGAUCUCACGGUUCGUGGGUUUGAGCCCCACAUCAGGCU
Felis catus (domestic cat) is the source of this 85-nucleotide transfer RNA. It matches the Rfam family "tRNA". Rfam says of the family: Transfer RNA (tRNA) molecules are approximately 80 nucleotides in length. The record is from Rfam. NCBI's taxonomy places the organism in Eukaryota, Metazoa, Chordata, Mammalia, Carnivora, Felidae.